ACAUGCCUACAGCGUAGCGUUAAUGCACUGAAUCCCAGUAGAGCUCUAUAGUUAAGCACUCUCGGGCUAGAGUAGUGCUAGGAUGGGUGACCACCCAGGAAGUCAUAGUGUUUUACAUGCC
Picea glauca (white spruce) is the source of this 121-nucleotide non-coding RNA. The record is from Rfam. NCBI's taxonomy places the organism in Eukaryota, Viridiplantae, Streptophyta, Pinopsida, Pinales, Pinaceae.